Molecule: long non-coding RNA, 1484 nt
Organism: Raphanus sativus (radish)
Lineage: Eukaryota; Viridiplantae; Streptophyta; Magnoliopsida; Brassicales; Brassicaceae
Exons: 7
Source: RefSeq, a predicted model, not a curated record
AAUCACAAAUAUUCCCUCGUAUCUCUCUUAUCUCUCUUAUCUCUCUCGUUUUCCCUCUCUCUUAUCUCAUUUUCCCCUUUCUUUCAGAACCCUAAAAAAAGAGUCAGUUUGAUUCUACAUCUCGAGACCCUAUCUUUGUCAUUCCCUUUCUUUACCUAGGGUUUGAGACACGAGAGAUAGAAGAGAAGAGAGACGAGACGAAACGGAGACAGAGCUCGGGUGUGUCUUUCUUCAUCUCUGAUACUCUUAUCUCUUUCUCUUCUUCUCCUCGGUCACAGAACAACGAGAUUGACGAGAGGAGGAUGACCAGAAGCUGUGAACGGAUCCAAGCUCAGUUGUGUUGGAUCGAGGAAGAAGCCAACGACUUUGAUUUGGCUCGCCGUAAAUCUGGGUUGGGGCUCGAGAGCGCUAGUGGCUGGAGUGAGGGUUUGUUAUGGAGUUGAUUUCGGCAUCAGAUCUACAGCAGGAGUCUCGGGAGUGGGAAGAGUGGUGAGGCAGAGAUGAGUAGCAGUGGUGAGAAGACAGAGCUUAACUUCGACUUCUUUGGAGAAGAAGAGAAUUUACGACAGUGACAUUGGAGGACUGGAGAAGCAGGUUACUUCAUCCCAUUGUGCUUGUGUGUGUUUCUGUUUUCUCUAGAUGAAGAUGCUCCUGGUCUUUUGCAGGUAUCAUUGUUUUCUUUUCAGAAUUGGAUUUAUGAUUAAGAUUUUAAAAGUUGUGUGUCUGAAUCUGGUGUUUGCAAGUACUGAUUAAACAAGGGGUAACAGUAGAUGAACUCAGUUUAUGGUGAGAAUGAUUAUUAAGAUGAUUCACUUCUUGUGGAGACCUUCUCAGAGCAGGAAUUACAGGUCAGGCUUGAAGUAAUGAGGAAGAAGUGGCGCCUCAAGUCCUUAAAGCUAGCUUAGGCGAUCACUAAAGCUAGAGGCGAGAUUGACCUUCAUCCUAGCCUUAGAGCAUGAGGAGCUAGUUUACCCACAUGACUGGAAUUGAAGCAAAUAAGCAAACUGCUAGAUCAACCAGGGAAAUAUUGCACUAAAGCGAGUUGUGAAAUCUAUAGCAAAGGGAGACUCUCACGUACCCUUUAGAGACAGCAAGUUGACUAUUCUGCUUCAGGACUCUUUUGCCAAUGACAAAUCAAAUAUUCUAAUGAUUCUAUGUGCAAGCUCGGAUCCAAAGGAAAUGUACAAGACUCUUUGCACUCUGGAGUAUGGGGCAAAAGCAAAGUGCAUAGUUCGUGGGUCACAUAUUCCGAACAAGGAUAAGAAUGGGGGUGAUGAGUCUUCUUCUGCUGUGAUUUUGGGAACAAGAAUAUAGCAGCAAUGGAUAAGUAGGAAGAAUAGUAGGUGAUAUCUGAACUUAUAAUUAGCUUGUUUCUUAAGACUUUGCUUUCUGUUUUCAAUAUGCUCUGUAAACCUUACGACUUAUGUAUUAUCUACAUCUUUUAUGAAUGUUUUAGUUGUUCUUAAUGAGUUUUCUCUUCUGAA